GGCCUCGUGGCUGAGCGGCUUAAGCAGUGGUCUGCAAAACCAUUUACACCGGUCCGACUCCGGUCGAGGCCU
This 72-nucleotide transfer RNA is filed under the name Candidatus Daviesbacteria bacterium. RNAcentral's name for it is "tRNA-Cys". It matches the Rfam family "tRNA". Rfam says of the family: Transfer RNA (tRNA) molecules are approximately 80 nucleotides in length. Lineage: Bacteria; Candidatus Daviesiibacteriota. The record is from RNAcentral.